RNAcentral lists this transfer RNA (69 nucleotides) under Squalus blainville (longnose spurdog). RNAcentral describes it as "tRNA-Cys". It matches the Rfam family "tRNA". From Rfam's summary of the family: Transfer RNA (tRNA) molecules are approximately 80 nucleotides in length. Their secondary structure includes four short double-helical elements and three loops (D, anti-codon, and T loops). Further hydrogen bonds mediate the characteristic L-shaped molecular structure. tRNAs have two regions of fundamental functional importance: the anti-codon, which is responsible for specific mRNA codon recognition, and the 3' end, to which the tRNAs corresponding amino acid is attached (by aminoacyl-tRNA synthetases). tRNAs cope with the degeneracy of the genetic code in two manners: having more than one tRNA (with a specific anti-codon) for a particular amino acid; and 'wobble' base-pairing, i.e. permitting non-standard base-pairing at the 3rd anti-codon position. Lineage: Eukaryota; Metazoa; Chordata; Chondrichthyes; Squaliformes; Squalidae. The record is from RNAcentral.
AGUCCUGUAGUAGAUGUAUACGUUGGAUUGCAAAUCCAAAACCGGAGGUUGAUUCCUCCCGGGGCUUUC